RNAcentral lists this ribosomal RNA (491 nucleotides) under uncultured bacterium. RNAcentral describes it as "partial 16S ribosomal RNA". It matches the Rfam family "Bacterial small subunit ribosomal RNA", at positions 28 to 507 of the family's 1533-position model. The record is from RNAcentral.
GAUGAACGCUGGCUACAGGCUUAACACAUGCCAGUCGAGGGGAAACGACGGGGAAGCUUGCUUCCCCGGGCGUCGACCGGCGCACGGGUGAGUAACGCGUAUCCAACCUGCCUCUGACUGAGGGAUAACCCGUCGAAAGUCGGCCUAAUACCUCAUGGCAUCGUCUGCGGGCAUCCAACGACGAUUAAAGAUUUCAUCGGUCAGAGAUGGGGAUGCGUCUGAUUAGCUUGUUGGCGGGGUAACGGCCCACCAAGGCGACGAUCAGUAGGGGUUCUGAGAGGAAGGUCCCCCACAUUGGAACUGAGACACGGUCCAAACUCCUACGGGAGGCAGCAGUGAGGAAUAUUGGUCAAUGGGCGAGAGCCUGAACCAGCCAAGUAGCGUGCAGGAUGACGGCCCUAUGGGUUGUAAACUGCUUUUAUGCGGGGAUAAAGUGAGGGACGUGUCCUUCAUUGCAGGUACCGCAUGAAUAAGGACCGGCUAAUUCCGUG